UCCCUGGCGGUCCAGUGGUUAGGAUUCGGCACUUUUACUGUUGUGGCCCCAGGUUCAAUCCCUGGUCGGGGAA
RNAcentral lists this transfer RNA (73 nucleotides) under Balaenoptera acutorostrata scammoni. RNAcentral describes it as "tRNA-Lys (TTT) (tRNA-Lys-TTT-24-1)". Lineage: Eukaryota; Metazoa; Chordata; Mammalia; Artiodactyla; Balaenopteridae. The record is from RNAcentral.